Molecule: ribosomal RNA, 311 nt
Filed under: uncultured bacterium
Lineage: Bacteria
Description: partial 16S ribosomal RNA
Source: RNAcentral
UGUUACGACUUCACCCCAGUCAUGAAUCACACCGUGGUAAACGCCCUCCCGAAGGUUAAGCUAUCUACUUCUGGUGCAACCCACUCCCAUGGUGUGACGGGCGGUGUGUACAAGGCCCGGGAACGUAUUCACCGCAACAUUCUGAUUUGCGAUUACUAGCGAUUCCGACUUCACGGAGUCGAGUUGCAGACUCCGAUCCGGACUACGACGCGCUUUUUGGGAUUCGCUCACUAUCGCUAGCUUGCAGCCCUCUGUACGCGCCAUUGUAGCACGUGUGUAGCCCUGGCCGUAAGGGCCAUGAUGACUUGACG